AUGCCGUCGGACUCUUGGAAAAGCAACGCGGGCAGAGGAAGAGCACGCGCCCCAGCGUCGGAGGAGGCUUGGCAGGAGAUGGUUGUUCUGCUGGAGGCGUGUUCCGCCCCAGCCAGGAGUUUGUCGAGCGCGGCCUCCCCCAAUGGGGAGUUCUACAUCUGGCAGUGGCGCGUCGGCGUGCCGCACGGCGCUGGGAUGUACUUGUGGACGGACGGGUGGAUGUACGAGGGGGAGUGGCGGCACGGCCCUGGGCGCAAGUUCUCCUAUCCGUCGGGCCGGGAGUCACCUUAG
This 291-nucleotide ribosomal RNA is filed under the name Triticum aestivum (bread wheat). RNAcentral describes it as "partial small subunit ribosomal RNA". Lineage: Eukaryota; Viridiplantae; Streptophyta; Magnoliopsida; Poales; Poaceae. The record is from RNAcentral.